AGCUAGUUGGUGGGGUAAUGGCCUACCAAGGCGACGAUCCAUAGCUGGUCUGAGAGGAUGAUCAGCCACACCGGGACUGAGACACGGCCCGGACUCCUACGGGAGGCAGCAGUGGGGAAUAUUGCGCAAUGGGCGAAAGCCUGACGCAGCCAUGCCGCGUGUGUGAAGAAGGCCUUCGGGUUGUAAAGCACUUUCAAUUGGGAGGAAAGGUCAACGAUUAAUACUCGUUGGCUGUGACGUUACCUUUAGAAGAAGCACCGGCUAACUCCGUGCCAGCAGCCGCGGUAAUACGGAGGGUGCAAGCGUUGAUCGGAAUUACUGGGCGUAAAGCGCGCGUAGGCGGCUUGUUAAGUCGGAUGUGAAAGCCCUGGGCUCAACCUGGGAACUGCAUCCGAUACUGGCAAGCUAGAGUGCGAGAGGGGGAGGUGGAAUUCCAUGUGUAGCGGUGAAAUGCGUAGAUNAUAUGGAGGAACACCAGUGGCGAAGGCGGCCUCCUGGCUCGACACUGACGCUGAGGUGCGAAAGCGUGGGUAGCAAACAGGAUUAGAUACCCUGGUAGUCCACGCCGUAAACGAUGUCUACUAGCUGUUGGGGUACUUGAGACCUUGGUAGCGCAGCUAACGCACUAAGUAGACCGCCUGGGGAGUACGGCCGCAAGGUUNAAAACUCAAAUGAAUUGACGGGGGCCCGCACGAGCGGUGGAGCAUGUGGUUUAAUUCGAUGCAACGCGAAGAACCUUACCAAGCCUUGACAUCCUCGGAACUUUCCAGAAAUGGAUUGGUGCCUUCGGGAGCCGAGAGACAGGUGCUGCAUGGCUGUCGUCAGCUCGUGUCGUGAGAUGUUGGGUUAAGUCCCGUAACGAGCGCAACCCUUGUCCUUAGUUGCCAGCACUUCGGGUGGGAACUCUAAGGAGACUGCCGGUGACAAGCCGGAGGAAGGUGGGGACGACGUCAAGUCAUCAUGGCCCUUACGGCUUGGGCUACACACGUGCUACAAUGGCAAGUACAGACGGCUGCGAACCUGCGAAGGGGAGCCAAUCCGACAAAACUUGUCGUAGUCCGGAUCGGAGUCUGCAACUCGACUCCGUGAAGUCGGAAUCGCUAGUAAUCGCGAAUCAGAAUGUCGCGGUGAAUACGUUCCCGG
RNAcentral lists this ribosomal RNA (1143 nucleotides) under uncultured bacterium. Its description in RNAcentral is "bacterial SSU rRNA". It matches the Rfam family "Bacterial small subunit ribosomal RNA", at positions 243 to 1377 of the family's 1533-position model. The record is from RNAcentral.